UACAUUUAUAUCUUUGUAAAAUGAAAACAACAAUAAACAAUACUUGGUGGUGGAACAAUUUACGUCAAUAGUCGUGAACUAAGCUCCUAUAGUAUUAUCAUAUAUAAAUAUAAAAGGCUUGUC
Molecule: non-coding RNA, 123 nt
Organism: Flavobacterium frigoris PS1
Lineage: Bacteria; Pseudomonadati; Bacteroidota; Flavobacteriia; Flavobacteriales; Flavobacteriaceae
Source: Rfam